Long non-coding RNA from Biomphalaria glabrata, 182 nucleotides. RefSeq lists it as uncharacterized. NCBI's taxonomy places the organism in Eukaryota, Metazoa, Mollusca, Gastropoda, Planorbidae. The record is from RefSeq and is a predicted model, not a curated record. The transcript is spliced from 2 exons.
AACAUCUUUAUUAUUUUGAACAUGUCAAGUUAAUAUAUAGUAUCUGAGAACGUAAAGAUAUAUUAGAAUAUAGGCACAAAAGCAGAUCACUAACACUUUGAAAGACAUUUAUAGUACAUCUCUGGAAAAAAAACUCACAUUGCUCAGAUGGAAAGCCAAUAGCCUACACAUCACAUUUGUCA